UACGUAGGGUGCAAGCGUUGUCCGGAAUUAUUGGGCGUAAAGAGCUCGUAGGCGGUUUGUCGCGUCUGCUGUGAAAACUCGGGGCUUAACUCCGGGCCUGCAGUGGGUACGGGCAGACUAGAGUGCGGUAGGGGAGACUGGAAUUCUCGGUGUAGCGGUGAAAUGCGUAGAUAUCGAGAGGAACACCUGCGGCGAAGGCGGGUUGCUGGGCUGACACUGACGCUGAAGCGCGAAAGCUAGGGGAGCGAACGGG
RNAcentral lists this ribosomal RNA (253 nucleotides) under uncultured bacterium. RNAcentral's name for it is "partial 16S ribosomal RNA". It matches the Rfam family "Bacterial small subunit ribosomal RNA", at positions 524 to 776 of the family's 1533-position model. The record is from RNAcentral.